GUGAAUCAUCGAAUUUUUGAACGCAAAUUGCACUCUCUGGUAUUCCGGAGAGUAUGCCUGUUUGAGGGUCAGUUUAAAUAAUAAUCGGUGUGGUUGCUGCCUUUCGUAGUGAUGCACCGGGUUUGGGUCGUCUUGCCCUAGGUUCAGUGGCCUAAACUUUUGCAUGAUUUUUUUGAACGUUUCUAAUUGAUCUUACGUUCGUUUGCGAUCUUCAAUCCUAGGUGUAGUU
RNAcentral lists this unclassified non-coding RNA (229 nucleotides) under Glomeraceae sp. RNAcentral describes it as "partial contains 5.8S ribosomal RNA and internal transcribed spacer 2". The stretch from base 1 to 71 matches the Rfam family "5.8S ribosomal RNA", at positions 84 to 154 of the family's 154-position model. Lineage: Eukaryota; Fungi; Glomeromycota; Glomeromycetes; Glomerales; Glomeraceae. The record is from RNAcentral.